Molecule: ribosomal RNA, 506 nt
Filed under: uncultured Salinibacter sp.
Lineage: Bacteria; Pseudomonadati; Rhodothermota; Rhodothermia; Rhodothermales; Salinibacteraceae
Description: bacterial SSU rRNA
Rfam family: Bacterial small subunit ribosomal RNA
Source: RNAcentral
UGGGAAGAAACCCAUGUUUUCUAAUGUGGUUGACUGUACCAGAUGAAUAAGCACCGGCUAACUCCGUGCCAGCAGCCGCGGUAAUACGGAGGGUGCAAGCGUUAUCCGGAUUCACUGGGUUUAAAGGGUGCGUACGCAGGUUGGUAAGUCCGUGGUGAAAUCUCCCAGCUGAACUUGGAAACUGCCGUGGAUACUAUCAAUCUUGAAUGUCGUGGAGGUAAGCGAAAUAUGUCAUGUAUCGGUGAAAUGCUUACAUAUGACAUAGAACACCAAUUGCUUACGCAGCUUACUACACGAAUAUUGACGCUGAGGCACGAAAGCGUGGGGAGCAAACAGGAUUAAAUACCCUGGUAGUCCACGCCCUACACGAUGGAUACUCGACAUCAGCGAUACACUGUUGGUGUCUGAGCGAAAGCAUUAAGUAUCCCACCUGGGAAGUACGAUCGCAAGAUUGAAACACAAAGGAAUUGGCGGGGGUCCGCACAACCGGUGGAGCAUGUGAUUUA